UUCCAGACUCCUACGGGAGGCAGCAGUAAGGGAUAUUGGUCAAUGGGGGAAACCCUGAACCAGCAACGCCGCGUGAGGGAAGGCGGUUUUCGGAUUGUAAACCUCUGUCCUCUGUGAAGAUGAUGACGGUAGCAGAGGAGGAAGCUCCGGCUAACUACGUGCCAGCAGCCGCGGUAAUACGUAGGGGGCAAGCGUUAUCCGGAUUUACUGGGUGUAAAGGGAGCGUAGACGGCAUGGCAAGUCAGAUGUGAAAGCCCGGGGCUCAACCCCGGGACUGCAUUUGAAACUGUCAGGCUGGAGUGCAGGAGAGGUAAGUGGAAUUCCUAGUGUAGCGGUGAAAUGCGUAGAUAUUAGGAGGAACACCAGUGGCGAAGGCGGCUUACUGGACUGUAACUGACGUUGAGGCUCGAAAGCGUGGGGAGCAAACAGGAUUAGAUACCCCAGUAUA
Molecule: ribosomal RNA, 448 nt
Filed under: uncultured bacterium
Lineage: Bacteria
Description: bacterial SSU rRNA
Rfam family: Bacterial small subunit ribosomal RNA
Source: RNAcentral